AUACGUAGGGUGCGAGCGUUGUCCGGAAUUGCUGGGCGUAAAGAGCUCGUAGGUGGUUUGUCGCGUCGUCUGUGAAAUUCCGGGGCUUAACUCCGGGCGUACAGGCGAUACGGGCAUAACUUGAGUACUGUAGGGGAGACUGGAAUUCCUGGUGUAGCGGUGAAAUGCGCAGAUAUCAGGAGGAACACCGGUGGCGAAGGCGUGUCUCUGGGCAGUAACUGACGCUGAGGAGCGAAAGCAUGGGUAGCGAACAGGAUUAGAUACCCUGGUAGUCCAUGCCGUAAACGGUGGGCGCUAGGUGUAGGGGUCUUCCACGACUUCUGUGCCGUAGCUAACGCAUUAAGCGCCCCGCCUGGGGAGUACGGCCGCAAGGCUAAAACUCAAAGGAAUUGACGGGG
This 398-nucleotide ribosomal RNA is filed under the name uncultured bacterium. RNAcentral describes it as "partial 16S ribosomal RNA". It matches the Rfam family "Bacterial small subunit ribosomal RNA", at positions 523 to 918 of the family's 1533-position model. The record is from RNAcentral.